AUCGAGCUGACGAGUCCCUGAUAGGACGAAACACGCGUCCUGCAU
RNAcentral lists this non-coding RNA (45 nucleotides) under Schistosoma mattheei. The record is from RNAcentral. Lineage: Eukaryota; Metazoa; Platyhelminthes; Trematoda; Strigeidida; Schistosomatidae.